Molecule: ribosomal RNA, 459 nt
Filed under: uncultured bacterium
Lineage: Bacteria
Description: partial 16S ribosomal RNA
Rfam family: Bacterial small subunit ribosomal RNA
Source: RNAcentral
CCUACGGGUGGCUGCAGUGAGGAAUAUUGGUCAAUGGGAGAGAUCCUGAACCAGCCAAGCCGCGUGAGGGAAGACGGCCCUAUGGGUUGUAAACUUCUUUUGUCGGAGAACAAAAACCGGGACGUGUUCCGUACUGCGUGUAUCCGAAGAAAAAGCACCGGCUAACUCCGUGCCAGCAGCCGCGGUAAUACGGAGGAUUCGGGCGUUAUCCGGAUUUAUUGGGUUUAAAGGGGGCGUAGGCGGUCCGUUAAGUGGGCGGUAAAAUGGCGGGGCUCAACUCCGGCGAGCCGUUGAAACUGGCAGACUUGAGUGCGCGAGAAGUACGCGGAAUUCACGGUGUAGCGGUGAAAUGCAUAGAUAUCACGAAGAACUCCGAUUGCGAAGGCAGCUUACCGGAGCGAAACUGACGCUGAGGCACGAAGGCGUGGGGAUCGAACAGGAUUAGAUACCCCAGUAGUC